This 678-nucleotide long non-coding RNA is filed under the name Pongo abelii (Sumatran orangutan). RNAcentral describes it as "lincRNA". Lineage: Eukaryota; Metazoa; Chordata; Mammalia; Primates; Hominidae. The record is from RNAcentral.
UUGAGCACGUCCUACCCAGAAGUCACCAGCUUCCAGGAGACAACGGCCUGAAGAGAGAGCCCCAGUCACCCCAGGGGAGGCAGGGAAGCAUCUACCUCUGGUUCUAUCUCUAGCAUCAUUCUUUCUCUCUGGGUCUCUGUGUUCUUAGGUCAGGGAUGGUGUCUCUCUUGCUAAUAGCCCUGUCUCCAGAGGCACACAGGCUUGGCACACACAGCGCCCGCGCACGUGGACGCUCCAAUUACAGCUCUAGAGGCUAGAAGUUGGCAGUCAGGAUGUGUGUAAGGCCACGCUCCCUCUGAAGGCUCCAGGGGAGGAUCUUUCCUUGCCUCCUCCAGCUUCUGGUGGCUGCCAGCAUCCUUGGCAUUCCUUGGCCUGUGGACACAUCACUCUAAUCUCUGCCCAUGGUCACAACCCCAAGCUCCAGAACAGACCAGCAGGCGAGGAGACAAGGAGGCAAGCAGAUGGAUGGCAGAACAAAGUGACAGAGAAAGAGAGAAGAGGAGAGAUGUCUGGACGCCAAGAGGAGUCGGGCUGGGGCCGGUCAGAGAAGAGUCCAACAGCUGGGCAGCCCGACUCCAGGGGAAGAUCACCUUCCCAUUUCAUCCCCCUUCAGGCUCCCCAUCCAUCUCACUAAGAGCCAUCUCUACCACUCAAUAAAACUUUGCACUCAUCCUUCAA